Long non-coding RNA from Homo sapiens (human), 15654 nucleotides. RefSeq lists it as uncharacterized. Lineage: Eukaryota; Metazoa; Chordata; Mammalia; Primates; Hominidae. The transcript is spliced from 2 exons. The record is from RefSeq and is a predicted model, not a curated record.
CCUGACCUUGUGAUCCACCCUCCUUAGCCUCCCAAAGUUCUGGGAUUACAGACGUGAGCCACUGCGCCCAGCCAAAGCUUGUGUUAUAUAUUGGGCUUCCAUUCCUGAAAGCUGGUUUUAUACUAUACAAAUAACAAAGUCAAUAUGAAAAUGUGUCAAAAAUAUGAAUGUACCUCUUAAAUACACAUAUUAACUAUUUCAAACAAAAGUACUAAAGAUAAAAAAAAGUUAUACUGUAAAUGUUACUUUCAGGGAAUUUUUUUCUGCUGAGGUUGAGUUGACUGAAGCUUUUAAAGUCCAAUGUUAAGUCUUUCUAAAGCAUAUAGAGGUAUUUUUUUUUCCAGUGUUUCAAGGUCUUUUAAAUUGUGUUAAAAAACAGAGUUAUCUGCUUCCAAUUCUAUUGCAUAUGAAAAGUGUAGAAAUGCUGGGAAGUUUGUUAAUUGCUAAAAGUUGAAGGAGGGACAGUUUCCAUGGCAACUUCUUCAGUAACCCAUGCUCUGAUAUUUCAGAAGGAUAUUCUUUGCUGAGCUGUGAAUGCAGUAUUAAGAAUUCAAUCAAAUCUUCAGAAUGUGAAGAGCAAUUGCUAAAGAAAAUCAUUAGCCCUGUGCACAGUUAGACCAAACAGCUGGCUGGGUCUGGGCUGUCCCGUAUUGAGUCAGCCUUACCUGUCCACUAAUCAAGGCGUUGCCUUCUGGACGUAGUCCUUGGUGAGUCUGCUAGCCGUCUGGUUUUGGUCAUCCCUAUGAAAGUCUUAGGAAAGGCAGUAACAGGUUGAGCUGUCUUUGAUUGAGUUAGAUUCAUGACUGAAUAUCAUUAGGGUGUAUUCCUUUAAUCUGUAUGUGUUGGGAAAUGAUUUGUGUGUCUGAAGAAAGUAAGCAACAUAUAAAUUUUGUCUAAAAGGCCGCAUUUAUGCUGUAAUAAUUUUCUCGUUUUUCUUUUAAAUAAGGGGACAAACCAGGGCCUGACAUUAUCUUGUAAUAACGAGUACUGAGCAUAGAAUUUUAUGUGUCCAUGUCUGUGCCUUCAUGAAUUGUCAGAUUCUACAGACAUGACCUGAAAGGGAGAUCUUUUAUCUCCCAUGUUUUCAAAGAUGAAACCCAUCUACAUGUGAAUGAGAUGAUAUAAAAUUAUUUUCUUCAAACAUUUUUGGGUACUUACAUUUUCUUACUGAUCUUCUCGACUAGAUUUUGUGCUUUGUAGGGUUGUGCACGUAUAAAGUACUGAAGUAUUUAUGGAUUUUAUAAUAUGUUGACUCAUUUUCUGGUUGAAUUUAUAUUUUCAAAAAUUAUUAAAUUAUAUUAAAGGAAGAGAAACAAUCAUCUUGCAUUAUUGCUAAUAGUCAAGUAAACAUCAAUCUCUAAAUGAGCGUGUUAAGUAUAGUACAUAUUUGCUUGCCUAGCACUAUGCCAUAGGGAUCAAAAGGAAAUGUAGGAAAUGAUGCCUGCAUCGUUUAAGUUGCCCAGUCUGAUUUUAUAACCUCUUAUUCAUAGUUGAAAAGCAAUAUGACGUGAAUUUAAUUAGGUUUUCACUUAACAAGGCAGUCUACUCCGUUUUUUUCAUUCAUUCUGUUUUCUCGUGUUAGAUGGCAUUUCUGAUAUUUAUAGUCUUUGGUCAUUCCCCUACCCAGGUUUUCCAAUUUUAUAAGGUGUCAUUUCUGGAGCAAGGUAUAAUUUAACCCUUACCUACCCUUAGGACACCAUAUGAUAUAAAUUAACUUAUCCUGACUUCCAUAACCACAGAAGGGAACCUGCUUGGAGGCAGGGUCUCACUGUCACCCAGGCUAGUUCUGACCAGUUAACUUGGUUGGGAAAAUGGGGACAUAUUGACGGAAGAAAUCCUUUUAAAACCAGUCAAGCCUCCAGUAAGUUUCAAGAAAUAGGAAGAAAAAUGUAGUGUUCAUUACAUGAAUAUGAAAAUCAUCUAUGAUUAUGCCUUUCUGAUGUCUGUUCAGAAUCUCAAGGAGGGGAGAAGAAAGAAAAAAAAAAGCCCCCCCGCCCCGCCAGCUACAGCCUUGACAACUAUCAGAAUUGCACAGGAGGCCAGGCGUGUAAUCCCAGUACUUUGGGAGGCCGAGUUGAGCUCCAAUGACUGAAACAAAGGCCCUCAGCCUUGAGGGAGCUGACAGGUGAGUUAGAGGUGAGCAUGUGAUGCUGCUGGAAUAGGGAACACAAGGUCAUUGUCAUGGAUUAGGAUGCUCUGGUCCUCAGUGCAGGUGAACUUGAACCUAGCCAUGAAAAAGCACCAGAAAUGGCUCUCUUUGUAAUUUUCACUUCUCCCCAGCUUCCCCUCCCAAUAUGUAGUGCUGCCCCACUGCUGCAUCCCAAAGCCAAUGCCGUGGAUCAUUUUAACCGGCUGCUGCUUUAACUGGUUUGUCUUCUGCUCUUUUCCUAAAUCCAGCUCUGCUCCUCCUCCUUGGUCUGCACUUGUAAGGCCUUUAUUUGAUGUGCAUGUAUCUCCCAUUUUAUAGCCCACAUCAUUUUUCAUCUUGGACUAUAAAUUCAGAGAAGAUGUGGGCUAUGCACUUUGACCUUCACAGCACCCAGCACAGUAAACCAUAAUGAAUGUUUUGGAUGAGGAUGAGGCUCUGAAGUUGGAAGCUGACAUGGCUAAUGCCUAUUUAAUUGAAGGUUAUUAAUGCCUCUUUAGCAGUGAAGGCUAGAUAGUCUUCUGUUUACAGCAGAGAAGGAACAAGCCCUCAAGCUUUUUCCAGUGGUCUCAAAGAAUUCUCUGUCAGGUGUUGCCCCAGUACACACUGACCUGAACUUAGCAUCCCGGAGAAUGAAAGGGACAGUUGGGGCAGUGGGGCAGCUUCCCCCCGAGAAGACAAGCGUCUUCUCCUCUGGGUUCAUGGUUCCCAGGUGGGAAUUCAGGGCGGGGGUAAGUCAGAAUAUUUAUGUUCUAGUUCAGCUUAUUAAAUAUGAGAUUUUCCAUCUCUUAGUGAAUAGAGUUUGCCUUCUGUCCAGCAUGAUAGUUCUAAGUAGGGCGACCAUAUGUCCCAGUUUUAAUACCUAUUUGCCUGGAUUAAUUAUUAAUAGCUCCCCCUUUAAGAGUGCCCUGGUUUGGAUGAUAAAUAUUAUUGCUAUCCUUGUUACAAGGGGGAACAUAUAGAGAGGAUAGUUAUACAGGGGAAGGUGGGGAGAAAGAGGGAGGGGAACUUAGGCAGGCUGCUGGAGAUUCAGAAGAUAAGGAAUGUGAGAAAUAGCUGUGUAGUCAAACAUUUAGAUGUUUUUUGGAUGGAAAAAAUUAUUUGGCUUUUAAAUGAUAAGCUAGUCUAAUAAGUUAGGAUUUGAAAGUCUUGAUCAAAGGGAGAUUUUAUUUUAUCAGUCAUAGUAUAGGAUCUUUUAGUGCAGGUUAACAGGUUAAUGUGUAUACUCAGAGCUUCAGGUAUUUUAUGGCUAAAGACAAAAGACUUUAAUGUACAAAUAUGUGUAUAUAUCUCACAUUUGUUUCUUUAACUAUGAAAAUGAACUUAGUCUGUUUAAAAUCCUGUUUUUAUUUGCAUAUGUAUUUAACUUAGAUAAUGGUGUAAUGGAUAUUCAAUAUUGAUUAACCUUAGGUAUGAGGAAAAGCCACAUUGGUAAUGAAGGAAAUUAGGUAGGACCAUAUUAAUUCCUUCAUAUUUGUUAAGGGAACAUCAUGUAAUCUGAACAAAAUAAGUGUUUUAUAAUCAGGUGUUAUUUUGGAAUUUUUAUAUUCAAAGUUUUUGUUUAAAUCAGUUUGAGCUGGUUUUCGGUGAAGGAGUUGUAUCAAUAUCACUUUAAAUCAAUGGAAAGUCUAAACAUAGGGUGCUCUAGGGUUGCUCCAUCAAGCAGCCCGGCAGUCUUAGCCGCAUCCUGUGUCUUUCCAUUUCUCUUUGGCGUCCCUGGUGUGUGCUUCAGCCUGAGCCAAAUGCUCACCUUGCUCUGGGGAAGCCAUCAUAUUUGAGUUUUUAAAAAUCAUAACAGUAUGUGUAUAUGAGUGUGUAUUAUAAGUGCGUGUUCCUUGUGUACUUACAAAUAAAUUUAUAAUUUUUCAAAGUUAUCUGGCGGUAUUGCUUUACAUUUUGAAAGAGCAUUACAGUUUUAGAAAUGACUAUUUAUGUCAUUGGAUCAGCAAACAAUUUUACAGGAUGCAGAAAUUAUCGAUUGUAUUCUGUAUGUUAGUGACUUACUCGAGAUGCUAGAGCUGUCAGAAUGAACUUAGACUAAAACCCAGGUCUUCUGACUCUAUGUCCAUCACCCUACCCAUGAUAUUGACUUGUAGAUGUCUUGCCCAGUAAGUAUAUUUCAGAAAGAAUUUUUCUUUUACAAUUGCUUUUCUGUUUUGGUUUAAUUUGAUGUUGUCCUACAGUAUUCCUUGUUAGGAAAAAAAAAUAACCUCGGUGCCUUUGGGCUAAUUGGAUGUGUACUUACCUAUCUGCAAAGUGUACUUACUGAUGCAAAAUUAUCACCAUCCUACCGGUAUACCUUGAUGGUGGUCUCAGUUCAAACAUCCUUUUGACAACUCUGCCUCAGUUGCCGUCUCAGUACAUUUGUACCAUAGGAGCUUUUCUGUCUGUAUUCUUUACCUCUUGUCCUUCCUGCUUGCUGACUGUCUUUUCUAUUCUAACCUCCACUUAAAAGACUUAUGCUCAUCCUUCAAGAACUACCUGAAAUGCUGCCGCCUCAAUGAUGUUUUCUCUGUUCGUUCUAGCGAUCGCUCUUUUCUCUCUUGAGUUCCUGUAGUGCCUUGAAUUUCUCUUCUGGCCCUUAUCAUACCCUGCUUUACACCACAGCCAUUUGUCUUUAUUAUAUUCCUCCCUACAAGAUUGUGGUGAGCUUCUCAAGGGCACUGGCCAUUUCUCAUUCAUCUUGGUGUCCCCACAGCACUUUGCACAGUGCCACAUCCCUUGGAAACUCUGCAGUUCAUUUUGUUUUAAAUAAAUGAAUGGGUUUAGACAUGGUUACACCCACUCAUAAGAUAUGAGGUGAUUGUAGAUUUUUACAGCAUAUGGAGAUUACAGAGAACCUUAUAUUGGUAUAAUUAUCACCUGGUUUGUGCAUAAUUAAAAAUGUAAUUGUAUAUUUUUAUGCAAUAGGUUAUCAUGUACUGUUUUAAGUGUGUACAGUUUUUUAUGGGCCUACCAUUUAGUUAAAUUGCAUAGAUGCUUUUUAGAAUGCUACUGUGAAGAAGUGCAGAGUUGAGGUCGUUUUUAGAAGCUCAGUGAGUUGGCCCCUUUUGCUCUCUGUAUUAUCCUUUUAGGCUAAGCUGCAGCACAGCUGUCCCACCUGACUAGCUUUCCUCCUGUGGCUCUUAUUGUCAUUGCAUUAGCUGAGAGAACAGGUUUUAAGAUUUUUAACUCUUCUCUGCCUAGCCUAGGUUUCAGAAAUAUUUUAGAGGGUUUUUAGAAAGUCGAAAUUCAGUGGAUAAGACUUUUGAUAGUUUUCAGGUUCUCUUUGUUUUAUGUAACCUUCGGUUUUUAAAAAUGUUUACAUUUCACUCCAUUUUCUUCUAAUCCUGUAGAUAUGGGACUGGCCUAGGAUCUGGCGUUUUAAAUAAUCUUUUCACUUCCCCUUCCCCCAACAAGGUAAUUCUGAUGUCAGGGAGACAGGGAAAAAUUCACCUCGAGAAACACCAUGACAGGUCAGUAUUGGGGAAUGAGGACUUGAGAUUUGCCUUUCAAAAUGAGUAAGGUUUAAGUGGAUGGAGAGGAGAUGAUUUCCUUGUGGAGGUAAGAAAUGGAGCAAAGUCUAAGGUGAGAAUGAGCACGUAAUAUUAGGAGAGAAGGAGGGCAAGGAGGAUGCUAACCAGCUUUCAGUGGAAGAUUAUUUUAGAGCAAUGUUCUCAAACUGUGGGUACAUUAGAAGUGUACCAUGGGCUUGUUAAAUAGCCACAUUCCUGCCUUCCACCCCGACCCUGAAAUUGCUUGUUUGGGCAUUCUGUGGGCUUAGGGUGGUGGCCUGGGCGUCGGCAUUUCUAACAGACAUCCAGCUGAACUUGGUGUGAUGGAAUCCCUGCUUUAUGGAAUAAAAGAGGGUCUGCUGACAAGGCAGCAGGGACUGCAUUUUGGCAGUCCUUACUGUGUUAGAUGAGGUUUCGGAGUUAAGAUGGGGACACUAGAACUCUAGCUGGGAAAUCAGGUGCAGGGAUGCUGCAUAAUCCCCUGAGGUGAUGCGUGCAGCGAGGCAACAGCAGUCAGGCUCUACAGGGUAGAAUUUAUUCUCAGAAGAAGGUAUAGACCGCUGACAAAGGAGUUCACUCCUCUGUAAACUGUUAAGGAAUUGCAAAGAAAUUUUCCAUUUGUAAUCUGCUGACAUAUUUUAGAAAGGUAGCCUCCUUAAUCCACCCCUCUAAAGACCUGAUGGUGGUCCCUCACAGGUAUCCAAAGUAGCCUUAAAUCAGAGACUGGUCUAGUUGGAGGAUGUGACUUGGAAUCUAUGAACCCUGGAUGUACUUGAGGGCAACUCACUUGAAACUUUGGAAUUUCAUGUGGAUGCAUGUUUUCUGGAGAGAGGUCCUAGAGUCUUGACCAUAUUCUCAGACAUGCCCUUACUUGGAUUUAGGAUAAGAUGAUUUAGUACUUGGCUCAUUGGGUGGCUGGCUUUCUCUCUCCUCUCUUUUUUAAAAACCCAGAACAAAUUCCUAUUAGUGAAAAAGAAACAAUAGCUUGAAGAACAAAGAAGGCCCCAGACCAUAAGAUAGAAUGAUAGAAGAGCCCUAGAUUUUCCAACAGAUGACCCUCCCUUUAUUUUUGCUUGGGUGGGUGUGCCAUUAUUAAUAAUAAGCCAGGGGAAUAGGGGAUUGAGAAGCUCUUCGUAGAAUGUGUAAUGAAUUUUUCUGUUCCUUGUGGAGCAGUUUCAGUGGUUUCAGCUGAAGUACACAGAGAGGGCUAUGUUAACAGUAAGGAGGUGAAUUACUAGUUAUUGCUAUCAAGUUUGGAGCUGGGGAGAAAGCGGGUGUAUGAAACAGGACCAUGUGUGAAUGGAUUUCUCAAGUGUUUCAUUAAAGAUCCGUCAGAACGGUUAGCACUCUAACCAUGCUUCAGUCUCUGGCUUCUGAUUCCUUUGUGGAAUUAAAAAUGCUUUUGGGAAGAGGGGCUAAACAAGCCUUUUGUCUGAAUUUCCAUGUAUUGAUUAAUGGACCCAGCAGAGCAUCCUGCUGUGAAUUCUGUCUGCUGAUGGUAACUCUUACAAUGAGCAAAGCUUUUCUGAACUGGCAUUUUCCACUCAGCCUGUAGGCUGCUGUAUUGGGUGUGACAAUUUUUUAAAAGCCAUCAUGCUAGAAUGAAAAUGAGCCAUUUCUAAAUGGCCUAUUGAUUUGCAAAACCUUUUUGUGUUGGAUUGAAUGGUUUCAUAUCUCAGCUGAGGGAAAAAGAUGCAGGCUAUUUUUAAUUUAUUGUUAUUUUAUCUUAAAGAUUUGAGUUGACAACGUUUUGGUCAUGAUGUUUACCUACUGUUGAAAGGUCUACUUGCAUGUCAUGACUUGAUAAUAAAUGUAAAACUCUGGUUCAUUAGCUUACACUAUAAAAGAGUUCUACAGCUCCACUUACAGUGUGAGCCACAGUCAGUAAAUAUGGAUCCAGAAGUCCUAAUUAUGACUCAAGCUCACCCAUAAACUUGGGGACCACCUUCGCACCAACGCUGUCCACUGGGCUAUUUAUGGAAGAAGCCACUAGGAACUGUUAGGCGGCUCCAUGUGUCUGGCUAACAGGGUCUUUAUUCAUUCACCUCAUCACGGUAUUCAGUCUUGAUGCUAGUGUGCACGCUUCCUAAGAAUUACAGAUGGGAAUAAAAGGUGUCUGGGUAUACCUGGGGAGUAUAUGUUUUUGCCUGCUGAUAUAGGAUACUAGGGUAGCUUGUAUGCAAAAGCAUGAGCGUCUAGGUUUAAAGGAUUCUUUUUGUUAAUAUCUGAGUUGACUUGGUAUGGAUCCUUGUUUGAUUUUUUUUUUUUUAAAUUUUUAUGUAUGUAUGUAUUUGCUUUUGAGACAGGGUCUUGCUCUGUUGCCCAGGCUGGCAUGCAGUGGCAUGAUCACAGUUCACUGCAGCCUCGACCUCCUGCUGCUCAAGUGAUCCUCCCACCUGAGCCUCCCAAGUAGCUGGAACUACAGGCGCACACCACCACACCUGGCUAAUUUUGUUUAAUUUUUUGUAGAGAUGGUUUUGCUAUGUUGCCCAGGCUGGUCUCAAACUCCUGGGCUCAGGCCAUCCUGCCUGCCUCAGCUUUCCAAAGUGCUGGGAUUACAGGCGUGAGCCACCACGCCAAGUCCUUGAUUGAUUUUCUUAACCCCUUGAUGGCAGCUUUUGUAGAUGUUUCUUACUUCCAACAAUAAUAAUAAUGAUAAAUAAUAAACAUAGUUGAAAUAUCUACUAUUUGCUAGGUGGAGCAAUUUCAGUGGUCUCAACUGAAGUAGCUGAUUUUUGUAAAAUGCAGAAAUUAAAAUCAAAAUGAAAAACAGGAUGGUUUUCCCAGCCUCUCUGUACAAUUUUGAUUAGGGUACAGUUACAGGUUGGGCAUCCCAAACCCAAAAAUCUGAAAUGCUCCAAAAUUCAAAACUUCUUGAGCACUGACAUAAUGCACAAAGGAAAUGCUCACGGGAGCAUUUUGGAUCUCAGAUUUUCAGAUUUGGGAUUCUCAACUGGUAAGAAUAAUGCAUACAUUUCAAAAUGUUUCCCCAGACAUGAAGGGUCAAAGAGAAAGUUCAUUCUAAGAGUCACAGAUGCUUUUUGCUGCAGAUAGAUGAUAUGAUUCAUCUUGACAGAGGGAUUCUUCUCUAAUCUGCAGACAGGAGUGAGCAAAGUGCCACCUUUUCACUUGUUUUAAACCUGUACUUUACUCCAACACUUCAGUAUCUCCUUUUUCUCUUCUUGAAGUGGCAUGAAUCUUAGGGAAAGGUGAGGAGCUCCUAGAAGUAGCUGUCACCAGAAACGGGCCAAUGAACUUCCUGGUCCAAGUCUUCUGUUUAAACUCCCAGUUUUAACAUUGAGCGUCUGCUUUGCAAUGAACAUGAAACAAGGAAUUUGCAGCAUUGAGGGUCGUACGCUUCACUGACUUGAGGUCAGUGUUGCUGGUAAGUAGGCCUAUGGCAGUGAAAAAGCUUUGACCCCAAUUCCGUGGGGGACAGAACUUCCUAGAGCAUUCUAGAAAACAGGGUACACGUGGAGUAGAUGCCAUAUUCAGUGCGAUUUUGCAGCAUAAUGUUGUGUUGUGGAAACUUCCCUCUUACCACUGUGCCCCAGUAAAUUGAACUCGAAGGUGCCUCUGUACCUUUUGUCUCUUGUAUAGGAAAUUAUAUCUGUCAGAAACAUUUCUUAGGUAAUCUGAGUAUAGGAAUCUAAAAACUGAGUACUCUUGUACUAAAAUGAGACACCAGUUUCUCAGGAAAACUUAAGGAAAGCAUGUUAUUUAAAAACAAUUUUGAAUAUUUCUAAACUUUCUCCUUUGCAUUUUUUUCUCCAACCAGAGGCCUUGGCUUAGAUAAAAUAAACUAAUAAAAUCUUUUUUUCUUUUCUUGUUUCCUGUUGUUGAAUGACAACCUCCCUGAGCAGCCUGGUGGCUUGGAGGCUCUGAUGUGAAGUAUAGAAUAGGUGGAGGGCGAAUAACAAAAGCCUUAUCAUGUAGAUAGCCCUGAAAUGGGACCACAGUCUUUAUCUUUGAGAACUGUCCAGUGACUGCUGCAAACUGGGCAGCUCUUUUGGAAAUGAGCAGUCUCUGAUACAGCUGGUAGGUAGAACCAAUUUGGCCCCUAAUAGGCUAACUGGAGCCAGUAGUUUAAGGGGGUGAUUAUUAAUUUGCCUUGUGUUUGUCUUCAUUUAGAGUAAGUUCAUCAGGCUAUGUUUUCAUGGUACCUUGCAUCAAGGAAAAUGUGGUUCUGUAAGUCUUCAUAUCAGUUUCUCUUCGAGAGUAGGAGUAAUAAUGCAUAUAUGUUUGCAUAUUUCCAAAUGCCUUUGUUUAGGGACUCAAUAAGUAUUUACUAUUAAAUUUGAUUUUUUAGUUGAAUAAACAUGUUUUAAACAAAAAUUAUUUCCUAAUUUUGACUCAGAGCCUAGAAACUGUUAUAAUGUGUGGCAUAUACACUUCUUUUUUGGCUAAGAGUAGAGUUAGAAUCUACUUUCUAAUUCAUCCAUUUUGAACGUUGAACCUGAAAUCCAGCUCAUCUUUAAGAUUGUUGUAUCUGCUAGGUUUGGAAUUUUAAACUUGGAAUUUUGGGGUCUCCUUGGUGGUGUAUAGUACUUCCAGAUAUAGACAGCAUAGAUGGGUCUCUUAGCUCAUCUGAAAAUGGGAGCUCAAAAUUUUUUCAAAGAUCUCAUAUUUACAAAUGAAUAAGUAUAAUGUAAAAUGCAAAAAUGAAAAUCAAAAUGAAAACAGGGUGGUUUUCCUAGCCUCUCACUAGGAUUUUGAUUAAAAUACAGUUACAGGUUGGGGUUCCAAAAAUCCAAAAAUCUGAAAUGCUCCAGAAUUCAAAACUUUUUGAGCACUGACGUGACACACAAAGAAAUGCUCACGGGAGCAUUUUGGGUCUUGGAUUUUCAGAUUUGAGAUUCUCAGCUGGUGAGGAUAAUGCAAAUAUUGGAAAAUGUGAAAAAAUAUGAAAUCCAACACACUUCUUGUCCAAAGCAUUUUGGAUAAGGGACACUCAACCCGUUUAAUCCAAGCACUUGGUGGAGAAUGUUGACAGUCACUUUCAGAGGUAGACAAAUUCCACUGGCAAGUUUAAUGACUGAUGGUAUUAUUAUUGUUAACUCACACUUGUGUCAAAGGUGCUUGUGACAUAGGGAGUUUUGCUCUCUCCAGCAUGUCCAUUGACUUGAGCUGGUUCCCGCUCAACACACAGACCUCAGGGCCCUGGGGAAAUAACUUAGGCAGCCCAAACAAGACCCCUGACCUCUGCUGUAUAGGCAGAUUUCAUUAGCAAAUCAGAAAUGUUCUAUUUAAAGUAUAUUACAGUGAUUCAUUGUAGAUUAACUCACAAAUCAAGACAGACCAGUGCCCUUUUGUGAUUAUUUUUCAUCAGCCUCAGGAGCCUCUAGAAGCCUCCUGUGGAGGUCUCACGCAUGGGGUGACAGGAGUCAAAGUGCUUCCUGCUGAUGGGUGUCCUGAUUUUUUUCUAGGUCUAAUAGUAUCAGCUGUGGGUUCCUUCCUGUAGUCUUUGUGAUCAUCUGACUGGCAAGGUCUCCAGGUAUCCACAGCUCACAAGUUACUAUUGGCGAGGGCUUGGAACUUGCCUCCUGCCCAGCCAGUGAUAGCAUGUUCAUGCAAGUCCCCACUGGCCAGCAGGGCUGCUGGAAUAGUAGAUGGCUCUCCCUGGGGAGUUCUGCCUGGUUCAAGCAUCAUUACCGUGGGGAGGAUUUCUUUGACCCACACCUAGUCUAGGCAGGUGGUGCAAGUGCAGAGACACCUGUCACAGCCUUGCUGUGGGUUGCAUCACAUUCCUCCUAAAAGCUCCAAGAAGUUCACUUCUCACUCACUAAGUGGGAUUGAGAGAAAACCUGCCUGUAGUUACAAUUUUCCUAAUCGAAACUCACCUCUUUUCAGUAGGACAGUACAAAACAGGCUACUUUCUCAGUAAAUAAUUACUAAUAACUAACACUGAUAUACUGCCUGUUUACUAUGUGCCAAGUACCUAUUCCAAGCAUUCUGUGUAUUUUAAGUCAUUGAAUCCUCCCAGCAAUCUCAUGAGACAGGUAUACUAUUAUUAGCCCUAGUUUACAGGCGAAGAAACCGGAGACAGAGCAGUUCAGUAACUUGUCCAAGGUCUCCAGUCCAGUGGAACCUGGAAUAACUCAUCCAGCUCCAAGGCCCACCUCCUCACCUGUCAUGCCUCUCAUCACCAAAUGCAAGCUAGUUUCAGGGUGGUUAAUUUUGGAGCUGAUGAGCUUUACAGGUGAUUGAAUUUAAUCAUUUAUGAGAGUAGGCAGGUAGGAUAUGCCAAGAAAGAGAUCUUACUCAGUAAGUUUGGCAGGCCUCCAUAUUUUGGGCCUUUCUUUGCUUCCCCCUGUGAUCCCAAUGAACUUGGGUACCAAGUCUUCUUGUUCCCAUUACCCUUUUCUUGGAAUAGAUUUUCUCAGAUAAUCUCCAUCUUUCUCCCAAUCUCCUCUUCCUUCUUCCUUUUUCUUAAACAGGAUGAGCCUGUUUACUGCUGGGGGCAGGGUAUGUAUCCCCAUGAGUCAGGGGCUUGAUUGGUAGGGGAGGUGAGUGUUCAUGCUGCGUCCCUAGACAUCUUGAAUGUCCCCCAAUUUGAGCAAGUAACACAUCACUUAGUUCUGCAACAGAACCAGCCACACAUUGGUGUGUGUUUGGCUUGCCUCUGAUUUGAUGUUGCUCUUUUCUCACGAGGCUUGGACAAAACUCCUGCUUUACUCAAAUCUUGUUUGAGUUAAUAUCUCAGCCUCCAGGUGAAAUGAGGAAUGAAAUACAGAUUUUAGUAUCUAAUAUAAAACCAUAACUUGUUUUUACUCUGAGCUCCAUCUUGGGACUAUAUUCUAUCCAGAGGCCCUGAGGAACUUCUCUCCCUCCUUUGUUUUGAUUUAUUAAAGUUCUUGAAUUAUAUCCCAUGUUAUUGAUCUCAGCAAAUGUGGGUUUCAAAAUUGAGAGAGAAGUAAAUCGUGCUGUGUUGUUACUGUGCGUUUGGCUGAAUUCUGUUCAACCUCUAAAGGAAAGGAAAUAUAUCAUGCUGCAGUCUUUUAACAUAAAAUCAGUUUACACUUUGCCAUUCUAAAAAAUUGAUCAGUUCAAUACAUUUGAUAAGUGCCGCAAGUAAGGAUUUACUCUGAUUCAGUAUCAUUGUCAAGUCCUAAAUUUUACUUAAAUUUUUUUAACUUACAAGCUGUCUUCCUCUAAAUUUAGGAUGGAAGGGGACAAAGAAGUUUUUAGAUUUUUGUCACUGAUUUAUAGCAUGUAAUUAAGGUCAUUUUGUACUAUUUUGAAGCUCCAUUUUGUUUCUUGGUUAUGUUGUUCUUAGAAGGAAUACUUUAAAAUUGUUGAGUGUAUUUAGUUAAUGUUUCAUAUAAAAUGGUAUCUACUUCCCCUCCCCCAGGUUAGGAGACUCUGAAUGAUGAAAUUCCUCUGAAUUAUCUUGAAGUAUCUUCUUAGAAAGUAAUGUUUCUCCAAUUCAUUAAGCUACUAAGAGUUUUCUGGUAUUGAAUGAAAAAGAAUUGUAGGUAUUUCAGGAAUUCCUGAAUAGCUGUUUUAUAACCAGACUGAUGAAAAGAAAGCCAUUUUAGAUGUGGGGUUGUAUGUAAUAAAAGUUUCAAAUUUUAAAAAUAACACAGAAAUCUGACAUUUAUUUUAGAAAGUGCCUUUUUUACAUUGAGGGAGAAAUUACCGAAAGGCAUAAAAUAAGUUUUAUCUGAUAAAUAUUUAAAAUAGAAAUGUGUCUGUGAGGUAUAACUUUUUAAAAGACUCAACCCCCACAAACCAGUAUUUCUGUUGAUAUUAAUUUUAGAAAAGAUUAAUUACAAGUAUUCAAUUUUGAUGCUGAUCUAUAAAAUAUAUAUUCUAAUUAUGCAGGCUCUAUGUGAAAAUGCAUUCUUAUUGGAUUUUAAUAUUGUUUUAUUUUGAUUUUAAAAAUAAUUUUGAAGAUACCUACAGCAUAUUGUAAGUAUAAAUGGCUCAGAAGUUAAUACAUUUUAAGAUACAUUUUCAGAAAAUUACAGGUUUUUUUUUUUUUUCUUUUAAGUCCACAACUAAGUUUGAUUGCUUUAAUAUCUUCCUCUUAGGAAGAGAUAAGGGUAAUGGGAAGUUGUAGAGAUAAGCUAAACUUAUACCAACACUAGUUUGAGAGCCAUUCGAUUUUUUUUUUCUUGCUAUUUUUUGGCAACAAGAACCGCACACACCAGUAGCAGAGUAGAUAAUACAACCAUUUAUCAACCUUAAAGAACCACAAGUGUUAUUCUUUAUGCUUUAUUACUUUGCUUCAGAAUAUUGCCUUUAGACUGUGAAAUUGUACCCCUGUUUAUUUACGAUUUUUAUUUAAAGAUUUUUUUUUUUGUUUUGGAGACAGGAUCUCACUCCAGUUGCCCAGGCUGGAGUACACUGGCACAAUCUCGGCUCACUGCAGCCUUUACCUCCUGGGCUCAGGUGAUUCUCCCACCUCAGCCUCCCAAGUAACUGGGACUUUAGGCAUGCCAUGCCCAACCAGUUUUUUUGUUGUUUGCUUUUUGUUUUGGUAUUUUUAGUAGAGACGGGGUUUCACCAUGUUGCCCAGGCUAGUCUUGAACUCCUGGAAUCAAACAAUCUGCCUUGCUUCAGCCUCCCAAAGUGUUGGGGUUACAGGUGUGAGCUACUGUACCCGGCCUAAUUUUAUAUAAAGAUUCUUAAUCUGUCUGUCUGGUUUGGACUUAAGCUCUCUGUAUAAUAAAGUAAUUGAUAAGAUGAUAUGCAGUUCUGGAUUUAUGCCAGAUACAUGUUUUAUAAGAAAUUUUACAUGGUAAUUACUUAAAAUAUAAGAUUCUGGUGUAUUGAAAUACGUAUUUGAGUAGCCUGCCAUUUUAAAGUUAUAAUGCAAGUUAACUUCUAAAUUUUAAUAAAAUUUUGAGUUUUGUGAAUACCGUUUUCUUCAGCAAAGCUCAAGUAUUAGGCUAUUCGUGUAAAACUAUUAUAUCUUUGGGCACAUGUUUCUUAAUAUGAUUUUAAAAGGAAAAAAAGUAGGUUUUAAGCAGGUCAUGGUUUAUGUUCCAGCAUUUAGUUAAAAAAAAAAGACCUCUAAUCUUAUAAUGCUGUUAAUUUGCUGAACACUUUAUCUUUGCAGAUCAAUUUCACAUACUUUUAUCUGGUUCAUUUUUCACAGCCUUGCUCCGAGUGAGGUGUUCUUAUCAUCAGUUGACAAUGAUGGGACAGAGAUGGCUCAAGGAUGUUGGGCACCCAGGGGUGGUUGAACUGGCAGUUACGACUUGAUCCAGGUUAUCUGAUUUGGGAUCCAGUCUGCUUUCUCCUAGGUCACAGAAGCCUUUUGAUUUUGUUUUUCUUCUUUUUUAAUGUUAAGACAGGUAACUGACUAGGGCUGCAGGUCUGGCGGCUGCUUGUUUUGGGUUGGUCUUCAAACCCUGUUGUUCCCUGACAUCCUGCCUUCAGCACAGGUUGCUGUACAGCUUUUCCUGUGGGCCCAGCUCCUCCCUCCAGGGGCCUUUCUUUGCAGAAGCUGCUCUUUCUGCCUGGAACUCUGUUCCCUUUCCUUGUUUCUCUUCCUUUCCUUCUUCGAAUUUAAGCCUAAUUACCCUCCACGUCAGCGCUUCCUCCCACCUUCCCCACUGUAUACUCUCCAAACUCCAUCCACUUCCCUCUGCUUGGAACUCUUUUUCUGCAGUGUAUUUUUGUGGCACUUGAGUGGCUUUGUCCUUAGACUAAGUUCUGGGAGGAUGGGAUCUUUUGCCAGUUUUUUACCCAUUGUAUUCUCAGCCUUAGCAGGAUGCCUCAUACUUAAGAGGUACCCACAUAUUUAGGUGGAUGGAUGGAUGGAUGAAAGAAUGAAUAAUGCCGAUUCUUUCAUUAUAUGGACUUUGUUUCCUUUCUUAGACCAUUGGAAUCAGCUGAUCGUCUAGCACUUGGCUAGAUUUGAACAAAUUAGGAAUCCUAUGUUCUGUUUAGUUCCAACUCCAAUCAAUUAACCAAUAUUUAUUGAGUGAGAGGCAGAAUGUGAAGCGCUGUAUCUCUGUUGUCUUCUCUGUUUCUCUCUCUUAGCAUUUUUUCAUGUUUACAGAG